RNAcentral lists this long non-coding RNA (2575 nucleotides) under Carassius auratus (goldfish). RNAcentral's name for it is "lncRNA (ENSCARG00000031907.1)". The record is from RNAcentral. Lineage: Eukaryota; Metazoa; Chordata; Actinopteri; Cypriniformes; Cyprinidae.
CAACCAAAAAUCAAAACAAAAAAAAUAUUACAAAUGAGAAAUACUUUGUCUCUCUUCUGGCAGGGCCGUGUAUUCCCACGUCAGUCCAGGCCAAUGUGGAGUGUGUGAGUAACACAGUGAAGGCAUCAUGGGGUCCGGCAGCUGGAGCUUUGUCCUACACUGGUGUUCUGACAGGCCCGGGCCAUUACAAUGAAUCCUGCCUGACCUCUGGCCUCUCCUGCUCCUUUAGGGGUCUGUCCUGUGCACAAACCUACAUGCUAAAUGUCAUCUCUCAAGACAGCCAAUGCAACAGCCCAGUCAGCCCCAAUGUCUCUGUCACAACAGCUCCCUGUGACCCUGAGAGCGUGAGUGCCGUGCUGAAGUGUGACUCUCGUACGGUAAAUGUGUCGUGGCAUGCUGCCGCUGGUGCCAGCAUUUACACGGUCCUGGCACAAACACAGAAUCAGAGCAUUCCUUCCUCUUCCUGCCGUACCUCGGCCACUUCCUGUGACCUCACACAAAUCCAGUGUGGGGAGGUUUUUAAUGUCACAGUUCUUGCCGAUGACGGGGCCUGCAACAGCUCAGCACGGGCCAGCACUAAACUGGAGUCAGGUAUGGAGAGCAUGUCCGGAUUACAGUCUUUAACUUUAGAUUGGAUUGGCUUGUGUAGCCUAAUGACUUAAUUUCCCUUCAUUUCCUCUUCCUGUGUAAUGUCUCAGCACCAUGUCCUCCGACAAUGAGGCCUCCUUCACUGAACUGCAGCACUAAUGUGGCCCUGGUGUCCUGGGUGAAGGACCCAGAUGCUGUGAGGGUCCGUGUCAAUGCCACCUCUGUCCUGGGACACACCGUCACCUGCAGCUCUUCUGCAAACAACUGUUCCAUGGAUGCCUUGCUAUGUGGUCAGACGUACAGUGUGUAUGCUGUGGCCCAGGGCCCUCAGUGUGAGAGUGCACCUAGUGCUCCAUUCACUAUUGUCACAGGUAGGUGCACCACAUAUUCAUAAUUCAGCAUUAAAUGAGCAGUGUUGGGGGUGAAGCAAGUUAUCUAAUCAGAUUACUUUUUUUCAAGUAACUAGUAAAGUACUUAAAACAUUACUUUGUAACAUUUUUUGUUCAAGAUUAAUAUAAUGAGUGUGUACAUCAUAAAUCCAUCUGCCAAUUAAGUCAUUGGGAUUAUCCUGAAUCACUUUGGUAUGCCAAUGAUAAGCAUUUAUAUUCUGACUAUUUUAAACCUGUCAGAAAAACACCCGCUACAAGUAGCCUAAUACCUGCAUGCUCAUCAUCAAAUCAUCAAAUCUACAAUUAAAGCGAAUUAGCUCCAGCUACAAUGUUCUUCCACAAGAUGCAUGCAGUUUUGUUUAUUAACUGCUAGAGGGCCAACAUGGUGUAAUUAAUUGACAAUUAAAUUCAAAGUCAUAAAAGUCGUGCUGCAGCGGUUCCCCAUGAUACCUCCCAGCACAACUGUCUACUGCUUACUCACAGACUGAUAAUUCAGCCAGGCCAAAAUAAACAUUCAGAGCUUAAUAAAAGCGCUCUUCUGUUACUGUUUGCCAGCCCCCUGCACCCCAGCCAAAGUGAAUGCUAACUACAGCUGUGGCACCAGCACAGAGCUGAGCUGGACUGACAGUCUGGGCCGAGAGAGCUUCUAUGUGCUUGCACAGACGACCGGUCACUCAGACUCCUGCAGUACAGUCCAAACCCACUGCUCCAUCAAUUCACUGAGAUGUGGAAGUCUUUAUAAUGUCUCUGUGGAUUCAAUCUCUGGACACUGCAACAGCAGCCACGCAGCCCGCACGCAGCUACAGACAGGUGAACACUCUUAAACACAACCCUCAUUUACCUGCGCAAACAUUUCAGCUCUUUCUCUGAUGAUUUAUUGAACCUUAAAGAAGUCGUAUCUUAUGUAUUUCUUUUUUUUUUUUCAUUACCAUUUCCACAAUUAUUAUAAACCUUAAAAUUAAACAGGCCUCUUUUCUAUGUAAUCAGUUUAGAUAAAUAACCUUUUUAAUGUCUGGAGAAGAUAAUAAUGAGAAUAUCUGUCUUCUCAGCUCCUUGUGCCCCAAGUAAUGUGACUGUAAGACUUCAGUGUUUGAACAACACUGCCGUUGUGUCCUGGGAGGGAAGUCCUGGUGCCGUGGGCUAUAACGUCACUGCUGUGGGACAUGAUGGUGAUAUCAAGCACAGUACCGUCACUGGCACCAGUUGUCAACUACCCAACAUGCACUGUGGUCAGACCUAUGACAUCAUUAUUACACCCUUCUCUCAGACAUGCGCUGGGUUCCCGACUGCUCCCUACACUUUCAAUGCAGGUGUGUAUUGGCAGUUUCCACAAAUGGGGUACCAAUUACAGUCUCAUUGCUUUUGUAAUAAAAAAUAAAGGGGCCAAAGACAAUGUAUUUUGCAGUGAGGGUUAUUAAAAAAACUAUAAUGUAAGAUAAAAUUAACAAGCUUAACAUUAACAUACUGUAAGUGUCCAACAAUAAAGCAUCCUAAUUCUUUCAAUUAAAGAAUUGAUUGUUAAUCUAUAUUAAUUAGCAAAAAUGCUACACAUUUACCGUAUGAUUAUCACAAAGCAUGCAACAUUAGGUAUAUUUGUG